RNAcentral lists this long non-coding RNA (772 nucleotides) under Phoenix dactylifera (date palm). RNAcentral describes it as "long non-coding RNA (PDAC_LNC018405)". Lineage: Eukaryota; Viridiplantae; Streptophyta; Magnoliopsida; Arecales; Arecaceae. The record is from RNAcentral.
ACGUAAGAAAUCAGCCCUCCAUUAACAUAAAAGAAAACUCCCCUCUUUUCUUUUCUUUUUUCUAUUCUUUUUGGAAACAGAGCAUGCUCUGUUUCCCUUUUUUUCUUUCUUUGAAUAACAGGAGCUCCUCUGUUUUUUUUCGAAUGGGACUCUCCUCCUCUUUUCUCACCCAGCCGAGAGGUAUAUAUCAAGCUGGCGUCGAUCCCCUUCUCACACGCGGUGGAGAUGAGCGGACCCGACGGAUCUGGGGCGUGGAUCACGGGAUCACGGUUGCUGGGAAGCUUCACAGAUCCUGGGAUUCGCUGCUGUUCUAUCGCAGAAGCAGGGGAUGCUGGAUGCUCCAACGUGUGAGAUCUGGACGUGGGAGAAUCACUCGCGGGAGAAGCGGAAUCUGGGAGGCUCGUGGAUGCUAGGUGGACUGGAUCGGAAGGAAUGAGCGUGGAUCCGGAAGAAUCGGAUGAGCAGCAGAUCCUUGGACGCGCGAUGGGAUUCUGAUUGCUGUGAAUCCAGAAGAGGUUGACGGAUGUUGAUCACGGAUGCUGGAAUCACGGAUCGGAAGCUGGAUCUUUGCUGGGAUGAGGUGCGGACGAGGCGUGCGCUCGUGAGGAACUCGGACGUGGAUGCUGCGAUGAAGUCGGAUGGAGCUUGAGAUGGAGCUGGGACGCGCUGUGAACGUGGAAGCUUGGGAGAUUUGAUCGCAGAAGGCUGAGAUGUAGAUGAGAUGCUAAUCCGGAAGCAGUGGACGCUCGCAAACGGAAUGCGGAGAUGGAGC